Molecule: long non-coding RNA, 619 nt
Organism: Drosophila biarmipes
Lineage: Eukaryota; Metazoa; Arthropoda; Insecta; Diptera; Drosophilidae
Exons: 3
Source: RefSeq, a predicted model, not a curated record
UUUGUUGUGUGAUUGUCGACCUUUCAGAUUUCGAUCAAAUAUGAGGUUUAUUGCCGUCGCGAGGUCAGAAAAACCGAGUAGAAGUAUUGUUGAGGUGUAUUUUAAACGCUUUUUUUGGGGACAGUUUAUUAAGGAACCACACUAAAACGAUUUACAAAGUUCGUUUUAUAAGUGGGGUCGAAAGAUAAACGGUUGUUGCAGAUUCUUUUCUGUGUAUUCCCUAAUCGAUUGAAUGUCAGUGGGUCACAAUAGGGAAAUCUUUUGUAUCGUAAGACAACCUUUUAAUGUGUUUUAAAUCUAGUUACGAAAGUUCAGGGGACUUCGGCCAGACGUGGUCCGGUUCGCGGAUGCUGUAAUGAAUGUCGACCGCAAGCUCCAAUUAUUAGCCAAAGGCAAGUGCUCUAUAUCGGCGGACGUUAAUGGAACUGGAACUGGAGCUAAACUCUCAGCCGAACAAUGAGGAACCAACUUUGUUGGAUGGCAAUUAGAUUUAAAUAUUAAACGCUACCGCUCGUCGUAAAUGAAUAUCUAACGAGUUUAAUUGGAGCGAUAAUCACAACAACAGUAGGACAGAGAACGGAGCAAGCACAAAAAAAAACAGAAGAAAAAUAAACCGAGU